This 498-nucleotide ribosomal RNA is filed under the name uncultured bacterium. RNAcentral's name for it is "partial 16S ribosomal RNA". It matches the Rfam family "Bacterial small subunit ribosomal RNA", at positions 28 to 507 of the family's 1533-position model. The record is from RNAcentral.
GAUGAACGCUGGCGGCGUGCCUAAUACAUGCAAGUCGAGCGAACUUUUGUGAGCUUGCUCCCAAAAGUUAGCGGCGGACGGGUGAGUAACACGUGGUUAACCUGCCUUUAAUAUUGGGAUAACUUCGGGAAACCGGACCUACUCCCGGAUAACAUUGAAGCCCACAUGGCCUUCAAUUAAAAUUUGGCUUUUAGCUACCACUUACAGAUGGUCCCGCGGCGCCUUAGCUAGUUGGUGAGGUCACGGCUCACCAAGGCGCCGAUGCGGAUCCGACCUGAGAGGGUGGGCGGCAACACUGGGACUGAGACAAGGCCCAGACGCACACGGGAAGGAGCAGUAGGGAAACGUGCGCAAUGGGCGAAAGGCUGAAGGAGCAACGCCGCGGGAGGGAAGAAGGCCGUCGGGUCGGAAAGGUCUGUUGUUAGGGAAGAACAAGCAUCGGGCGAAUAGGGCGGUAGCUUGACGGUACCUAACCAGAAAGCAACGGCUAACUACGUG